RNAcentral lists this ribosomal RNA (142 nucleotides) under uncultured eukaryote. Its description in RNAcentral is "partial 18S ribosomal RNA". It matches the Rfam family "Eukaryotic small subunit ribosomal RNA", at positions 1299 to 1458 of the family's 1831-position model. The record is from RNAcentral.
UGGUGGAGCGAUUUGUCUGGUCAAUUCCAUAACGAACGAGACUCUAGCCUACUAAAUAGUUCGGGGACCCCCACAAAGGGGCCCCGCUUCAACUUCUUAGAGGGACAGGUGGCGUUUAGCCACACGAGAUUGAGCAAUAACA